GGGCCUUCAGACGAAACGAGAGGUGGUUCGAGGGAACUGUACCUCACCUCGGUGGUGUCCUAUGAAUCCCCAUUGUUGCAAGGUGCCCAAGUUUCCACAAUGGUGCAACCUGAAUCCAAGAAAAAAAAACAGGAAGAAUUAUUUUCUGUGGACAAAUAAAUUGGUGUGAUAUAGAAUCUAAGGCAUAAAAAUAUUGGCUGCAAAUGGAGCCAGUGGACACAUUCGCUCUACCAGUUUUUUCAGAGACAAUAAAGACUUACCUUGAGUGCAUUCA
Molecule: long non-coding RNA, 274 nt
Organism: Rhipicephalus microplus (southern cattle tick)
Lineage: Eukaryota; Metazoa; Arthropoda; Arachnida; Ixodida; Ixodidae
Gene: Polr1A
Source: RefSeq, a predicted model, not a curated record